Molecule: long non-coding RNA, 659 nt
Organism: Armigeres subalbatus
Lineage: Eukaryota; Metazoa; Arthropoda; Insecta; Diptera; Culicidae
Exons: 3
Source: RefSeq, a predicted model, not a curated record
GGAAAAAUAAAAAAAAUCGAACAGUCAAAGUGCAGGACUCUUCGUUGCUUCCUGCUCUUUUAAAUUCUGCUAGUGGUUGACCAAUGGAUCAUUGGCUGCUGUGCCUUGUAAUGGUGAACUAUGAAGCUCACUGGAACAGCCGUCAUACCCACCGCUGAUAAAGGCGCAUCUCCACGGAAGUUCUAAAGCAUGGUUAAUUGGAAAGGAUGCCGAAAGACAGCGGCCACAAUCAGCGCUGCCAUAUACGAGCAUCACCACUCUUCACCAGCAGCAACACUUAUGCUACGUUUAGACAAGGCAAGUGAAUUGAGCAAGUCGUUUGAAUCGAACGCGAAUUGAACGUGUAAACACCUUAAUUCAAAUCACUUGAACGAAAAGAAAGUUGAACAUGUUCAACUUUUGGCAAGUCAAUUGAAUUCAACUGAGUUGUUGCAUUAUGCUACGUUUUGACAGGGCAAGUGAAUUGAAUAACUCAGUUGAAUUCAAUUGACUUGCCAAAAGUUGAACAUGUUCAACUUUUUUUUUCGUUCAAGUGAAUUGAAUUAGGGUGUUUACACGUUCAGUUCGCGUUCGAUUCAAGCGACUUGCUCAAUUUAAUUGCCUUGUCUAAACGUAGCAUUACGGCAUGGCCAAUGAGAAACUAUGAAGAGCGCUCAACA